RNAcentral lists this small RNA (87 nucleotides) under Phascolarctos cinereus (koala). RNAcentral's name for it is "sRNA (ENSPCIG00000013488.2)". Lineage: Eukaryota; Metazoa; Chordata; Mammalia; Diprotodontia; Phascolarctidae. The record is from RNAcentral.
UGUCCACAUCCGGAUUUACCUGAACCCCACCCAAGUACAUGUGUGUAGCAAUGAAAAACCAGUAUUCUCUAUCCGUGAAUCACACCC